Molecule: ribosomal RNA, 253 nt
Filed under: uncultured bacterium
Lineage: Bacteria
Description: partial 16S ribosomal RNA
Rfam family: Bacterial small subunit ribosomal RNA
Source: RNAcentral
UACGUAGGGUGCGAGCGUUGUUCGGAAUUACUGGGCGUAAAGGGCGCGUAGGCGGCCUUCUAAGUCGAACGUGAAAUCCCCGGGCUCAACCCGGGAACUGCGUCCGAUACUGGAAGGCUUGAAUCCGGGAGAGGGAUGCGGAAUUCCAGGUGUAGCGGUGAAAUGCGUAGAUAUCUGGAGGAACACCGGUGGCGAAGGCGGCAUCCUGGACCGGUAUUGACGCUGAGGCGCGAAAGCCAGGGGAGCAAACGGG